CAGUGCCCAUCACACCCCACCUGCAGCACAGGGCUGGUGGGCAGAAAGUGGUGUUCCCUGGGCAGGAGCAACACGUUCCUGUUUUGCACUGGUGUUGUGUCUGUUCAAGACUGAGCUCAGCAGUUGGUAUAUUUUUCCCUCCUAGAUUUAACAGGGGAAAAAAUAAAGAUUGGAAAGCUGCUGCGAUUUGCUGGGCUGAAUGGAGCAUUAGUGGAGCAGUGCGUGCUACUCUCAGGCAUUAAAUAUGCUCUGAUACAAGUUGGGAACAGCUGGGCGGCAUCCUUGAUGAGGAAUCCAACCAGCAGACCUCCACCACUCUAUGAUUCAAGAACCUUCUUCCUCGUGCCUCCAUUCUUGUUGGAUCACCCCCUGGUGCACAGGGCUGGGUCUCCAUGCAGGGCUCUGCACUGCUGUGUAUUCCCAGCGUUCUGGCUUGCAGGAUGUAUCCUUUUCUGCUCGCUUUCUUGCUCGCUCCGCAUCUUGCUCUGUCUUCUCCCUUCUAUGAUUUCUUAUCCUAGUAGCUUGCCCCCACUCAUCUGCAAAACCUAUUUAACAUCAGGAAACUCUGUCAAGCAUGGAGAGCUGACAAAAUCAUAGAUGGUUCAGGCAACAGCGGCGAGAUGUGCUGACUGCAUUUUCACAGCUCAAAUUAUAUUGUGUUGCAGCUGAGGCUGAAAGUGAAACGAAGCUGUAUCCAAGAGAGAAGGAGUGAAAUUUAAUAAUAGAAGUGUGAGAUCUCUGAGAGAGAUGCACAGUGCUGUCUGGACAGUGCCAGCACUUUCCUGCCUCGAUCUGCCACAGAAGUGCACUUGUGUUGGGGACCCCAUAACUGAGCACGUUUUGCUGGAACCUUUGGACCCAUUGGUAGGAAAGCAAACAGAAUGAUUUCUUUUGGACACCAGAAACUCCUGUGUUUCAGGACCUCCCAUCUGCCUUUUUGCAUCUGCGAAACCUCAUGCUUGUGAGCACCUUGCAGCGACCUGUGUCGUUGCCCUGUCAGACCUGAUCUGCUUUCUACAGCCUGAAGUUAUCUCUCUGAUUGUGGCAGCCUCCCAAAGUCUCCAAAAACCUGUGUUGGAGGAGGAUGCACACCUUGGUUCUGUAGCAGUGACUCAUUCCCUCCACCUGCAAAGGGUCAGCGGAGCUAGGUGAAAAUGAGCCCAAACUGGAAAGGAGAUUACUCCUUUCUAAUGUCUGCAAAUGCACUUGUUUGCUCGGUUUAUAGGUAUCCAUUGGACAAACAAUUUUGCAGGUGGUUUGGUCGCAUUUUACGAAUGGUGCCAGCUGUUUGCUAUCCACCGCUCUGAAGCCUGUGAUCCCUCACUGCACUGUUGUUAUUUCCUGGCUGGAUGCUGAAACCACUGUUGGGAGAAUGGCAAUCAGCAAAAAAAUGCAUCCCCACUGGUUUAGUUUCCAAGGCUCAUCUGAGUCUUGGAACAUAUGGCACCCAGUCAGAAUGUAGAAGUUGAGUUUAGAUAAGAUGAUCGAAGGAAAAAAAACUGAGCACAGCAAAGUGGGAUGCUUGCAGCUACAUUAAAAAUAAAAUCUGGUGUAUCUAUUACUGCAUUAACACAUGGGUCCAUCGGGUUGUUUGGAGGGCUGCGUUUGCUCACCUGGAUACUGGUUGUGUAAUACUGUGAGAAGGUUGGGUGCUCUUGGUUGCUCUGAGUUUCUGAGGCAUGGAAUACUUUAUCA
This 1695-nucleotide long non-coding RNA is filed under the name Gallus gallus (chicken). Its description in RNAcentral is "lncRNA (ENSGALG00010026248.1)". The record is from RNAcentral. Lineage: Eukaryota; Metazoa; Chordata; Aves; Galliformes; Phasianidae.